RNAcentral lists this ribosomal RNA (609 nucleotides) under Salmonella enterica subsp. enterica serovar Kingston. RNAcentral's name for it is "partial 23S ribosomal RNA". It matches the Rfam family "Bacterial large subunit ribosomal RNA", at positions 911 to 1522 of the family's 2925-position model. The record is from RNAcentral. Lineage: Bacteria; Pseudomonadati; Pseudomonadota; Gammaproteobacteria; Enterobacterales; Enterobacteriaceae.
UGUUUCGGCUAGGGGGCCAUCCCGGCUUACCAACCCGAUGCAAACUGCGAAUACCGGAGAAUGUUAUCACGGGAGACACACGGCGGGUGCUAACGUCCGUCGUGAAGAGGGAAACAACCCAGACCGCCAGCUAAGGUCCCAAAGUCAUGGUUAAGUGGGAAACGAUGUGGGAAGGCCCAGACAGCCAGGAUGUUGGCUUAGAAGCAGCCAUCAUUUAAAGAAAGCGUAAUAGCUCACUGGUCGAGUCGGCCUGCGCGGAAGAUGUAACGGGGCUAAACCAUGCACCGAAGCUGCGGCAGCGACACUGUGUGUUGUUGGGUAGGGGAGCGUUCUGUAAGCCUGUGAAGGUGGCCUGUGAGGGUUGCUGGAGGUAUCAGAAGUGCGAAUGCUGACAUAAGUAACGAUAAAGCGGGUGAAAAGCCCGCUCGCCGGAAGACCAAGGGUUCCUGUCCAACGUUAAUCGGGGCAGGGUGAGUCGACCCCUAAGGCGAGGCCGAAAGGCGUAGUCGAUGGGAAACGGGUUAAUAUUCCCGUACUUGGUGUUACUGCGAAGGGGGGACGGAGAAGGCUAUGUUGGCCGGGCGACGGUUGUCCCGGUUUAAGCGUGUA